AGGUUUGGGGUGUGCAUAA
RNAcentral lists this non-coding RNA (19 nucleotides) under Mus musculus (house mouse). Lineage: Eukaryota; Metazoa; Chordata; Mammalia; Rodentia; Muridae. The record is from RNAcentral.